This 505-nucleotide long non-coding RNA is filed under the name Bos grunniens (domestic yak). RNAcentral's name for it is "lncRNA (ENSBGRG00000013590.1)". The record is from RNAcentral. Lineage: Eukaryota; Metazoa; Chordata; Mammalia; Artiodactyla; Bovidae.
ACCAUCCAGCGCGAGGCAGCCAGACUGCCGAGCGAGUGCCCAAGGCAUUGUGGGAGUCAUGAUUCCAAGAGGCCCGCGAUUUAAAAUUGAACUUGUCAGUUCCCGGUCACGGGAGCAUUGUGAGCGCCACAACUCAUUCAGCUGCAGUGAAAAGACUGUUGCAUGUCGCUGUGCAGCCUCUUAUCGCCGAGGUCUGGUUUCCGCUGCUGCUGCGCGGCCCUCCCCGCCGGCCCAGCCCCACCAGGAAGCCCUGGGCGGACUCCGCGAGCCCCGGAACGCACGCGGCGACAGAAAAAAAAAAAAAAUGCUCUUCAACUUUCCGCCGCCCGGCGGCUCAGCCCCCGGCCACCUCGCCACCCCUCAAUCUAACAAGAGUCCGCCGGGGGUGGCGGUUGCCACUCGCCCAUCGGCGCAGAAAGCAAAAGGAAACCCGAGCCGGCGCUGGCGCGGUGCAUCCCCGCCGCCUCCCGGUGGUAUCUUCCAUCUUAUACGUUCAACACUGUAA